This 76-nucleotide transfer RNA is filed under the name Sulfuracidifex tepidarius. Its description in RNAcentral is "tRNA-Leu". The record is from RNAcentral. Lineage: Archaea; Thermoproteati; Thermoproteota; Thermoprotei; Sulfolobales; Sulfolobaceae.
GGGGGUCGAAGGGGGUGUCCCCCUUCAGCUUCGGUUCGCACCCGAGAGGUCCCGGGUUCAAAUCCCGGCCGGUCCA